CUCCACAUUGUUCUGGAAGGUCUGAGAGGGGUAUAGGAAGGUCUGAGAGGGGUAUAGGAAGGUCUGAGAGGGGUAUAGGAAGGACUGAGAGGGGUAUAGGAAGGUCUGAGAGGGGUAUAGGAAGGUCUGAGAGGGGUAUAGGAAGGACUGAGAGGGGUAUAGGAAGGUCUGAGAGGGGUAUAGGAAGGUCUGAGAGGGGUAUAGGAAGGUCUGAGAGGGGUAUAGGAAGGACUGAGAGGGGUAUAGGAAGUAUAGGAAGGACUGAGAGGGGUAUAGGAAGGACUGAGAGGGGUAUAGGAAGGACUGAGAGGGGUAUAGGAAGUAUAGGAAGGACUGAGAGGGGUAUAGGAAGGACUGAGAGGGGUAUAGGAAGGUCUGAGAGGGGUAUAGGAAGGUCUGAGAGGGGUAUAGGAAGGUCUGAGAGGAAGGUCUGAGAGGGGUAUAGGAAGUAUAGGAAGGACUGAGAGGGGUAUAGGAAGGACUGAGAGGAAGGACUGAGAGGAAGGUCUGAGAGGGGUAUAGGAAGGUCUGAGAGGGGUAUAGGAAGGACUGAGAGGGGUAUAGGAAGGUCUGAGAGGGGUAUAGGAAGGUCUGAGAGGGGUAUAGGAAGGACUGAGAGGGGUAUAGGAAGUAUAGGAAGGACUGAGAGGAAGGUCUGAGAGGGGUAUAGGAAGGACUGAGAGGGGUAUAGGAAGGUCUGAGAGGAAGGACUGAGAGGGGUAUAGGAAGGAC
Sander lucioperca (pikeperch) is the source of this 732-nucleotide long non-coding RNA. RefSeq lists it as uncharacterized. NCBI's taxonomy places the organism in Eukaryota, Metazoa, Chordata, Actinopteri, Perciformes, Percidae. The record is from RefSeq and is a predicted model, not a curated record. The transcript is spliced from 2 exons.